This 484-nucleotide ribosomal RNA is filed under the name uncultured bacterium. RNAcentral's name for it is "partial 16S ribosomal RNA". It matches the Rfam family "Bacterial small subunit ribosomal RNA", at positions 30 to 507 of the family's 1533-position model. The record is from RNAcentral.
AUUGAAUGCUGGCGGCAGGCCUAACACAUGCAAGUCGAGCGGAUGAAGGGAGCUUGCUCCUGGAUUCAGCGGCGGACGGGUGAGUAAUGCCUAGGAAUCUGCCUGGUAGUGGGGGAUAACGUCCGGAAACGGGCGCUAAUACCGCAUACGUCCUGAGGGAGAAAGUGGGGGAUCUUCGGACCUCACGCUAUCAGAUGAGCCUAGGUCGGAUUAGCUAGUUGGUGGGGUAAAGGCCUACCAAGGCGACGAUCCGUAACUGGUCUGAGAGGAUGAUCAGUCACACUGGAACUGAGACACGGUCCAGACUCCUACGGGAGGCAGCAGUGGGGAAUAUUGGACACUGGGCGAAAUCCUGAUCCAGCCAUGCCGCGUGUGUGAAGAAGGUCUUCGGAUUGUAAAGCACUUUACGUUGGGAGGAAGGGCAGUAAGUUAAUACCUUGCUGUUUUGACGUUACCAACAGAAUAAGCACCGGCUAACUUCGUG